This is a long non-coding RNA of Acomys russatus (golden spiny mouse), 386 nucleotides long. RefSeq lists it as uncharacterized. Lineage: Eukaryota; Metazoa; Chordata; Mammalia; Rodentia; Muridae. The transcript has 3 exons. The record is from RefSeq and is a predicted model, not a curated record.
GCCGCCAAGAGCAUCCUAACUUUGCAGAACCCUGUGCUACCUAUGGACUCUGAGAUGGGCUUCCUGUAAAGAAACCCCUGACGCAUUAACGGACAAAACAUGAGUCAAUUUGUGCUGUGGCAUUCAAAUCCCAGCAUUUUGGAAGAGGUUCUUCCGAGGCAAGGCGUGCUUUGUUUGUGUGAUGACGUGUGACUGUUUCCCUGCCGAGGAGGUCAGUAAUGAAAGAGAAGAAGCCAGGCGCACUGUGGAAAGGUUACUUGCCCACCGUCCUUUUUGGGAGAGCCUCCUCCCAUGCUUCUCAGUUUGGUAGAAAUAGCCAGUGGUUAUUAUGUUAAAAUAAAGGCUCAAAUACUCAUCUAAACCCUGUGGCAUCCAAGCUUGUCUGC